AUGCAGAAUUAUGGCCACGAGGACUACGACUAUGAGACUGGGGCUGGACACGACGGCGUUGGCCGCUCGCUUCCGUCGGUUCCUGGGCAACCUGGAGGACCUGGAGUACCUGGAGGACCCGGAGUCCCCGGGGCCCCGGGGAUCAGACCCAUAGUCGACCCUCAGGCCCAGGGUGAGGUGGACCCGACGGUCUACCCGCAGCCGAAGGAGGCGACUCACAAGAUACGUGGAAAGAGCGACAUCCUCGAGUACCUGUUCGGUGCCGUCGACCAGGAGCUCCUCACCGUGAAAACGUUCUACUUCUUCUUCUAUUCCGCAUUUGGCUCCCUGUUUCCACUGAUGGGUGUAUACUUCAAGCAGAUGGGAAUGAACGCUGGGCAGUGUGGUCUUCUCAACGGAUCCAGACCAUUCGUUGAGUUUCUCAGCGCCCCGUUUUGGGGGUCGCUUGCCGACAGAUGGCAGAAGGGGAAGAUGAUUCUCCUCGCAUCGCUCUCCUGCUGGAUAAUCUUCACUCUUCCUCUGGGCUUCAUUGAACCACCAGCUAUAUCUUGUAUGGUUGUAGAAAACGAUUUGCCGAUGCUUAGGAACCCCGAGCGAGACACGCGGAUCGGGAAGCGUUCGGUCAGUAUGGAGAGCUACUACCGUCCCGACGACGACAUGACGGAUCUAGAGACGGCGGAUAACGUGGUUUUCGAAAGGAUUCGCCGAGAUGUUGGCAGGUCCGAAUACGACGAUCGUAGAUCAUCGGAGCGGAUCCGAACGUCGAGUGAUCACGUCAACAUGAGACGAACCCUGGGUUACGAUUUAGAUAAUAAUGAAGUUGACGACGCUCGAAGUCCCUACGACCUGGAGGGUAACAGAGUGAAGCGCGAGACACAUCUCGACCCCGAAGACGGCAUUGUGGAGGAUCUGGAGUACAAGCAAUUCAUGGAAAAUGAGGAGAUCCCGGAUCCACUUGCCCAAUCCGUCGAUUUGAAGAGUUUGGAACGGAGAAACAGACCCGCUGACGUUCUGGAAUACAAAAGGUUUUUAAAGAACGAACCUUUGGAUGAAAGUAGACCGCCGAAGAAGGCCUACGCGAAGUUGAAGGCGCACGUUAAACCCCCAAGAGAAAAAGUAAUGGUGAAGAGAAACAUAAUCAGUAGAGGAUCAGAUAUCCUGCGACAUCACAGGUAUAAGAAGUUGGGUAAACGAGAGACGAAUUCGAGGCAAAUUGUCGCUUCAAAAAAUGAAAUUUACGGUAUGAGCGUGAAGGGUCUGAGGAAAUUGAUGUUCAUCGAAGAUGAAGAAAAGGAAAUGUCUGGGACUAGGAUCCGUCGAUCGGUAAAGGGGUAUCACUUCCCACAAUCAAGUGGCCGAAGUCCAUAUCCGGUCACUUACGCUACAAACUACGACAAAAAAGAACACGCAGAUUUGGUCAAGCCGAUGUUCAGUUCAAUCGUGUACAAAAUUUCGGAUAUCCAAAAGACGUUCUUCCUUCUGCUCCUCCUCGUCAUCGUCGGUGAGUUUUUCUCAGCACCUGCGAUCACCUUGGCUGACUCUGCGGUCAUCACUCUUCUCGGCGAAGACGCAGACAGGUACGGACAUCAGCGUAUGUUCGGGAGUCUGGGAUGGGGUUUGACGAUGUUCUUCGUCGGCAUCGCCCUCGAUCACAGCACCGCGUUUCCGGAUCAUCCCUGCGAGCCAGACCCCAGAGAAAAAAAUUAUACCAUUUGCUUUGCGACAUUUAGCGUCCUUAUGGGGGCCGCAUUGAUCACCGCGACGCAGAUUAACUUCAAGUAUGAUUUUCCCGUUGCAGAACCGGAAGUUUCGAAACCUGCGGCCGAACCAACUCGGGAAGAACAGCUUCAGAGUCAAUUGUCCCAGCAGUUGAAUUUACCAGGCCUUCAAGACUCGUCAGGGAACCCUGACCCCAAGCCCCAACCACCGGAAGGCAAGACGAAAAUGUUCGCGCAAACGACGCGGGAAAUUCCCGAAUGGGUCACAGUCCUGAACCAGUUCAAGGACCUGAAGUGCGCGUCGUUUCUUUUCGUCGCAUGGUUCAUGGGCUUUGGGAUGGGGCUGAUAUUCACUUUCCUGUUCUGGCACCUGCAGGACUACGGCGGAAGUCCCACGCUCUUCGGAGUAGCCUCAGUGAUCAAUCACAUAUCCGAGAUCUUCGCCUACUUCUUCAGCUUCAAAUUAAUCCGGCAAAUUGGCCACGUCAAGGUCCUCUGCCUGGGCCUAGUCGGCAACAUUCUGCGCUUCUUGUACAUUUCUUGGAUCACGAACCCCUGGUGGGUCCUCCCCUUCGAAUUCAUGCAGGGAAUCACGCACGCCACAGUUUGGGCAGCCUGCUGCAGUUACAUCGCUCACAACACGCCACCCCAGCUAAGGUCAAGCGCUCAAGGAGUCCUUCAGGGUCUUCAUCACGGAUUGGGUCGGGGAUGCGGUGCUGUUAUCGGUGGAAUGUUUGUCGCCAGUUACGGCACCACCGCAACCUUCCGAGCCUACGGCCUGGUCUGCUUAGGAGUCUUGGCCGCGUUCAUAUUCAUAAACUUUUACCGAAAGGACACGGGCUUCGUCUCAGACCUACCACAGACGGAAGACCCUCAUCAAGUAGCCGAAGCAACGCAUUUAGCCCCGCACGGUGUUCCUAGUAACGCAAUUCCUCGGGCUCUCAGCUCCAGCCGACUCCACGAGCUGGCAAAUCAGGACCCGGGAUACGGUGCCACUUAUCAGACGUCAGGUGGAAACCUGGAUAUCCCCGGUGGUAAUGGAGGGAACACAAAUCCUACGAAUCCUUUCCUGAACGGUGGAGGAGGAGGAGGAGGAGGAGGAGGAGGCAGUGGAGGUGGAGGUGGAAGUGGAGGCGGUGGUUACAAUUACGGAGUGACCGGCAAAGGGGAGGAUGAAUUUAUUCGUAGGAGUUUCCAGGUCGAGCAUGGAAUAUCCCGUUAAUAUCGAUAGUAGACGUUCAUUAUGUUGUUUGCCCGAUAGUGUCGAAUGAUCAAAUCUUCGCGUCUCGCAGUGUCGCGUCCAGUCAAAUACGAUCUACAGUGAAGUGGUCGGAAGGGAAUACGAUUUAGGAAAAGUCCCGGAGACCUAUCUCCACGCCCAACAACCCUGCACUAAUCCGUUUCACCAGCACGACUACGAGUGGUAACCCUUCUGAUUAUAUCGAUGACAGGACGCGUCGAAAAAUUUAAUCUUCUUGUUAUUCCUCACUCAAAUCUUAUAUUAUAUGGUAUUAUACAUAUUAUAUUAUUGCAAUUUACGUUUCAAGAUAUACGAUUGGAUCGCUUGUUUGGGAAACAACAAGCAACAACAUAUCUCUUUGCUAUGGAUAUCGCGAUAAAGUAAAUAACUCUGCAAA
Molecule: RNA transcript, 3355 nt
Organism: Diprion similis
Lineage: Eukaryota; Metazoa; Arthropoda; Insecta; Hymenoptera; Diprionidae
Gene: jef
Gene name: major facilitator superfamily domain-containing protein 6
Exons: 11
Source: RefSeq, a predicted model, not a curated record